RNAcentral lists this ribosomal RNA (253 nucleotides) under uncultured bacterium. Its description in RNAcentral is "partial 16S ribosomal RNA". It matches the Rfam family "Bacterial small subunit ribosomal RNA", at positions 524 to 776 of the family's 1533-position model. The record is from RNAcentral.
UACGUAGGGUGCAAGCGUUAAUCGGAAUUACUGGGCGUAAAGCGUGCGCAGGCGGUGAUGUAAGACAGAUGUGAAAUCCCCGGGCUCAACCUGGGAACUGCAUUUGUGACUGCAUCGCUGGAGUACGGCAGAGGGGGAUGGAAUUCCGCGUGUAGCAGUGAAAUGCGUAGAUAUGCGGAGGAACACCGAUGGCGAAGGCAGCCCCCUGGGUCAACACUGACGCUCAUGCACGAAAGCGUGGGGAGCAAACAGG